This 433-nucleotide long non-coding RNA is filed under the name Vigna radiata. RNAcentral's name for it is "long non-coding RNA (VRAD_LNC005774)". Lineage: Eukaryota; Viridiplantae; Streptophyta; Magnoliopsida; Fabales; Fabaceae. The record is from RNAcentral.
UUAAAUUAAAGAAAAUGUAAUAUAAACCAUUAUUUUUUACUUGUGAAAUGGAAUUAAAUCUAUAUGUAUAUUUAAAAAAGAAAAAAAGAGUUUAAUAUGAAUUGUACUAACAUGAUAACUAGCUAACUAGUUAAAUGCAUUAGGAUAAAGAUAAACAGAAAAAUAUAAUAAAUCCAUGAUAAUUUUGGAGUGGGUGGGGGUAAGUGAUAUGUGAUGAUAGUUUUUGAUUUUCUUUAGCAUAAUCCAGCUGUGUUGCCACCGCACACAGCUGUCAAGGUUUUCUUCAGCAAUCCUUUUCCUACUUUCUACUCAUACUUACUUCCUCUUCCUUCUCCACACACUUUUAUAUGCAUCCAAUUCCACAUAUCACCAUCUAUCUCACACAUUUUUUUUCCUCUUCGAAUCAUAAUUCUUACAAUAUCUUCCCCUCCCA